RNAcentral lists this ribosomal RNA (544 nucleotides) under uncultured Hypocreaceae. RNAcentral's name for it is "eukaryotic LSU rRNA". The stretch from base 178 to 331 matches the Rfam family "5.8S ribosomal RNA". Lineage: Eukaryota; Fungi; Ascomycota; Sordariomycetes; Hypocreales. The record is from RNAcentral.
AACGUUACCAAACUGUUGCCUCGGCGGGAUCUCUGCCCCGGGCGCGUCGCAGCCCCGGACCAAGGCGCCCGCCGGAGGGACCAAAAAAACAAACCCUUGCAUGCCCCCUCGCGGGCUUUCUCCAAGCUCUGAGCCUUUCUCGGCGCCCCCUCGCGGGGCGCUACGAAAAUGAAUCAAAACUUUCAACAACGGAUCUCUUGGUUCUGGCAUCGAUGAAGAACGCAGCGAAAUGCGAUAAGUAAUGUGAAUUGCAGAAUUCGGUGAAUCAUCGAAUCUUUGAACGCACAUUGCGCCCGCCAGUAUUCUGGCGGGCAUGCCUGUCCGAGCGUCAUUUCAACCCUCGAGCCCCUCCGGGGGGUCGGCGUUGGGGAUCGGCCCUCCCUCGCGGGGGCCGGCCCCGAAAUGCAGUGGCGGUCUCGCCGCAGCCUCUCCUGCGCAGUAGUUUGCACAACUCGCACCGGGAGCGCGGCGGGCCCAUGCCGUGAAACAACCCAACCUUCUGAAAUGUUGACCUCGGAUCAGGUAGGAAUACCCGCUGAACUUA